RNAcentral lists this long non-coding RNA (537 nucleotides) under Pan troglodytes (chimpanzee). Its description in RNAcentral is "long non-coding RNA NONPTRT009082". Lineage: Eukaryota; Metazoa; Chordata; Mammalia; Primates; Hominidae. The record is from RNAcentral.
GAAAGAUAACCCAUGACCAGGAGGACCACGAGGACCAUUUGAGCUGGAACUUAAGGUUGGGUGGGAGCAACAAAGGCCAAGACAGCAGGAUGCCAUUCCAGGAGAAGAGAGGAGCCACAGCCAGGGCUUAGAAGUCGAAAAAUGAUUCUUAUUCCGUUCGGAAAAUUCUCAAACUACAGGAAGUGGAGAGAACAGUACAGUGACCCUACACGCUUGUUACCAGCCUCACCUGUCACCCACAUGGAGUCCUUCCCAUUCGUGGGGUUUCCAGGAUUUGCUGAGCACCUACUAUGCAUCAGACGUUGUGUUCUAGGCAAGGGGGAUACACCUGAUGGAAGAAGGUGCUUCCCUAGACGUAGCUAACAUCCCAGUGUGGGACAUGACAAGAAACAGUAUGCCCAUGUAAGUUCUGGCCAAUGGAAAAUGUUGUGUGUGACUUCCAGAAAAUGUCUUAAAAGGGAAGGUAAACACCUUCCUCCACCAGUCCUCCACACUUUCUGGAAUUUGAGACAUGAUGACUACAUCUCAAGCAGCUCG